GGGUCAGUAGGUUGGUCGUGCCACCGGUACGUACUGGUCUCACUGAUUCCUCCUUCCUGAAGAACCGUAAUGCCAUUAAUUUGGUGUUGCGGGGAAACAGGACUGUUACCUUGAAAAAAUUAGAGUGUUUAAAGCAAGCCAACGCUUGAAUACAUUAGCAUGAAAUAAUGAAAUAGGACGAUCGAUCCUAUUUUGCUGGUUUCUAGGAUUGACGUA
RNAcentral lists this ribosomal RNA (216 nucleotides) under Glomeromycotina sp. Its description in RNAcentral is "partial small subunit ribosomal RNA". The stretch from base 44 to 216 matches the Rfam family "Eukaryotic small subunit ribosomal RNA", at positions 690 to 864 of the family's 1831-position model. Lineage: Eukaryota; Fungi; Glomeromycota. The record is from RNAcentral.